CUGAUGGCGAGUGGCGAACGGGUGAGUAACAUAUCGGAACGUGCCUAGUAAUGGGGAACAACUAGUCGAAAGAUUAGCUAAUGCCGCAUACGACCUACGGGUGAAAGCAGGGGAUCUUCGGACCUUGCGUUAUUAGAGCGGCCGAUAUCUGAUUAGCUUGUUGGUAGGGUAAUGGCCUACCAAGGCAACGAUCAGUAGCUGGUCUGAGAGGACGAUCAGCCACACUGGAACUGAGACACGGUCCAGACUCCUACGGGAGGCAGCAGUGGGGAAUUUUGGACAAUGGGGGCAACCCUGAUCCAGCCAUUCCGCGUGAGUGAAGAAGGCCUUCGGGUUGUAAAGCUCUUUCGCAAGAGAAGAAAACUUAUUAUUUAAUAAAUGAUAAGUAUGACGGUAUCUUGACAAGAAGCACCGGCUAACUACGUGCCAGCAGCCGCGGUAAUACGUAGGGUGCAAGCGUUAAUCGGAAUUACUGGGCGUAAAGCGUGCGCAGGCGGUCUUAUAAGUCAGAUGUGAAAUCCCCGAGCUCAACUUGGGAACUGCGUUUGAAACUGUAGGACUAGAGUGUGUCAGAGGGGGGUAGAAUUCCAUGUGUAGCAGUGAAAUGCGUAGAUAUGUGGAGGAAUACCAAUGGCGAAGGCAACCCCCUGGGAUAACACUGACGCUCAUGCACGAAAGCGUGGGGAGCAAACAGGAUUAGAUACCCUGGUAGUCCACGCCCUAAACGAUGUCUACUAGUUGUUGGUGGAGUAAAAUCCAUGAGUAACGCAGCUAACGCGUGAAGUAGACCGCCUGGGGAGUACAGUCGCAAGAUUAAAACUCAAAUGAAUUGACGGGGGCCCGCACAAGCGGUGGAUUAUGUGGAUUAAUUCGAUGCAACGCGAAAACCUUACCUGGCCUUGACAU
RNAcentral lists this ribosomal RNA (906 nucleotides) under uncultured bacterium. RNAcentral's name for it is "bacterial SSU rRNA". It matches the Rfam family "Bacterial small subunit ribosomal RNA", at positions 85 to 987 of the family's 1533-position model. The record is from RNAcentral.